Molecule: transfer RNA, 76 nt
Filed under: Bacteroides sp.
Lineage: Bacteria; Pseudomonadati; Bacteroidota; Bacteroidia; Bacteroidales; Bacteroidaceae
Also listed under: 8 other names
Description: tRNA-Lys
Rfam family: tRNA
About the family: Transfer RNA (tRNA) molecules are approximately 80 nucleotides in length. Their secondary structure includes four short double-helical elements and three loops (D, anti-codon, and T loops).
Source: RNAcentral
GACUCACUAGCUCAGCCGGUAGAGCACCGCACUUUUAAUGCGAUGGUCCGGAGUUCGAAUCUCCGGUGGGUCACCA